GAUGAACGCUGGCGGCGUGCCUAAUACAUGCAAGUCGAACGAAACUUCUUUAUCACCGAGUGCUUGCACUCACCGAUAAAGAGUUGAGUGGCGAACGGGUGAGUAACACGUGGGCAGCCUGCCCAAAAGAGGGGGAUAACACUUGGAAACAGGUGCUAAUACCGCAUAACCAUAGUUACCGCAUGGUAACUAUGUACAAGGUGGCUAUACUACCGCUUUUGGAUGGGCCCGCGGCGCAUUAACUAGUUGGUAGGGUAAAGGCUUACCAAGGCAAUGAUGCGUAGCCGAAUUGAGAGGUUGAUCGGCCACAUUGGGACUGAGACACGGCCCAAACUCCUACGGGAGGCAGCAGUAGGGAAUCUUCCACAAUGGGCGAAAGCCUGAUGGAGCAACGCCGCGUGGGUGAAGAAGGUCUUCGGAUCGUAAAACCCUGUUGUUAGAGAAGAAAGUGCGUGAGAGUAACUGUUCACGUUUCGACGGUAUCUAACCAGAAAGCCACGGCUAACUACGUG
Molecule: ribosomal RNA, 512 nt
Filed under: uncultured bacterium
Lineage: Bacteria
Description: partial 16S ribosomal RNA
Rfam family: Bacterial small subunit ribosomal RNA
Source: RNAcentral